CAGCCGCCGCGGGAAUACGUAGGUGGCAAGCGUUGUCCGGAAUGAUUGGGCGUAAAGGGCGCGCAGGCGGCUGUGUAAGUCUGUCUAGAAAGUGCGGGGCUAAACCCCGCGAGGGGAUGGAAACUGGACAGCUGAGAGUGUCGGAGAGGAAAGCGGAAUUCCUAGUGUAGCGGCGAAAUGCGUAGAUAUUAGGAGGAACACCGGUGGCGAAAGCGGCUUUCUGGACGACAACUGACGCUGAGGCGCGAAAGCCAGGGGAGCAAACGGGAUUAGAGACCCCCGUAGUCCCUGUCUCUUAUAC
Molecule: ribosomal RNA, 301 nt
Filed under: uncultured bacterium
Lineage: Bacteria
Description: partial 16S ribosomal RNA
Rfam family: Bacterial small subunit ribosomal RNA
Source: RNAcentral